Molecule: ribosomal RNA, 496 nt
Filed under: uncultured bacterium
Lineage: Bacteria
Description: bacterial SSU rRNA
Rfam family: Bacterial small subunit ribosomal RNA
Source: RNAcentral
ACUCAAAUGAAUUGACGGGGGCCCGCACAAGCGGAGGAGCAUGUGGUUUAAUUCGAUGAUACGCGAGGAACCUUACCCGGGCUUGAAUUGCAGUGGAAUAAUCUGGAAACAGAUUAGUCUUCGGACCACUGUGAAGGUGCUGCAUGGUUGUCGUCAGCUCGUGCCGUGAGGUGUUAGGUUAAGUCCUGCAACGAGCGCAACCCUUACACUUAGUUGCCAGCAUGUAACGAUGGGGACUCUAUGUGAACUGCCUACGCAAGUAGCGAGGAAGGUGGGGAUGACGUCAAAUCAGCACGGCCCUUAUGUUCGGGGCUACACACGUGCUACAAUGGUCGGUACAGAGGGUCGCUACCCCGCAAGGGGACGCCAAUCUCAAAAGCCGAUCUCAGUUCGGAUCGGAGUCUGUAACUCGACUCCGUGAAGUUGGAUUCGCUAGUAAUCGCGCAUCAGCCAUGGCGCGGUGAAUACGUUCCCGGGCCUUGUACACACCGCCCGU